UAAGGAAUAUUGGACAAUGGAGGCAACUCUGAUCCAGCCAUGCCGCGUGAAGGAAUAAGGCCCUAUGGGUUGUAAACUUCUUUUAGACAGGACAAAACCCCUUUACGUGUAAAGGGUUGAUGGUACUGUCAGAAUAAGCAUCGGCUAACUUCGUGCCAGCAGCCGCGGUAAUACGAAGGAUGCAAGCGUUAUCCGGAAUUAUUGGGUUAAAGGGUGCGUAGGCGGACUAAUAAGUCAGUGGUGAAAGCCUGCAGCUUAACUGCAGAAUUGCCAUUGAUACUGUUAGUCUUGAGUACAGUUGAGGUAGGCGGAAUGUGUCAUGUAGCGGUGAAAUGCUUAGAUAUGACACAGAACACCGAUUGCGAAGGCAGCUUGCUAAGCUGUAACUGACGCUGAGGCACGAAAGCGUGGGGAGCAAACA
Molecule: ribosomal RNA, 421 nt
Filed under: uncultured bacterium
Lineage: Bacteria
Description: bacterial SSU rRNA
Rfam family: Bacterial small subunit ribosomal RNA
Source: RNAcentral